RNAcentral lists this ribosomal RNA (497 nucleotides) under uncultured bacterium. RNAcentral's name for it is "partial 16S ribosomal RNA". It matches the Rfam family "Bacterial small subunit ribosomal RNA", at positions 28 to 507 of the family's 1533-position model. The record is from RNAcentral.
GAUGAACGCUGGCGGCGUGCCUAAUACAUGCAAGUCGAGCGAACGGACGAGAAGCUUGCUUCUCUGAUGUUAGCGGCGGACGGGUGAGUAACACGUGGAUAACCUACCUAUAAGACUGGGAUAACUUCGGGAAACCGGAGCUAAUACCGGAUAAUAUUUUGAACCGCAUGGUUCAAAAGUGAAAGACGGCCUUGCUGUCACUUAUAGAUGGAUCCGCGCUGCAUUAGCUAGUUGGUAAGGUAACGGCUUACCAAGGCAACGAUGCAUAGCCGACCUGAGAGGGUGAUCGGCCACACUGGAACUGAGACACGGUCCAGACUCCUACGGGAGGCAGCAGUAGGGAAUCUUCCGCAAUGGGCGAAGGCCUGACGGAGCAACGCCGCGUGAGUGAUGAAGGUCUUCGGAUCGUAAAACUCUGUUAUUAGGGAAGAACAUAUGUGUAAGUAACUGUGCACAUCUUGACGGUACCUAAUCAGAAAGCCACGGCUAACUACGUG